This 410-nucleotide ribosomal RNA is filed under the name bacterium enrichment culture clone ALO1_GLFRUDD03F0H1D. Its description in RNAcentral is "bacterial SSU rRNA". It matches the Rfam family "Bacterial small subunit ribosomal RNA", at positions 9 to 419 of the family's 1533-position model. The record is from RNAcentral.
GAGUUUGAUCCUGGCUCAGAUUGAACGCUGGCGGCAUGCCUUACACAUGCAAGUCGAACGGCAGCACGGGAGCUUGCUCCUGGUGGCGAGUGGCGAACGGGUGAGUAAUGCAUCGGAACGUAUCCUGGAGUGGGGGAUAACGUAGCGAAAGUUACGCUAAUACCGCAUAUUCUGUGAGCAGGAAAGCGGGGGACCUUCGGGCCUCGCGCUCUUGGAGCGGCCGAUGUCGGAUUAGCUAGUUGGUGAGGUAAAGGCUCACCAAGGCGACGAUCCGUAGCAGGUCUGAGAGGAUGAUCUGCCACACGUGGAACUGAGACACGGUCCAGACUCCUACGGGAGGCAGCAGUGGGAAUUUUGGACAAUGGGGGCAACCCUGAUCCAGCCAUGCCGCGUGAGUGAAGAAGGCCUGG